RNAcentral lists this ribosomal RNA (1377 nucleotides) under uncultured bacterium. RNAcentral's name for it is "bacterial SSU rRNA". It matches the Rfam family "Bacterial small subunit ribosomal RNA". The record is from RNAcentral.
ACUUGAGAGUUUGAUCAUGGCUCAGAACGUACGCUGGCGGCACGCCUAAUACAUGCAAGUCGAACGAAGUAGCAAUACUUAGUGGCAGACGGGUGAGUAACAUGUAGGUAUCUUCCCUUUGGUGAGGAAUAACACGAGGAAACUUGUGCUAAUACCUCAUAAGUCUUUACGGAGAAAGCUUUAUGCGCCAAUGGAUGAGCCUGCACUUGAUUAGUUUGUUGGUGGGGUAAUGGCCUACCAAGACUGUGAUCAAUAGCUGAUUUGAGAGGAUGAUCAGCCACAUUGGGACUGAGACACGGCCCAAACUCCUACGGGAGGCAGCAGUAGGGAAUAUUGCACAAUGGAGGAAACUCUGAUGCAGCGAUGCCGCGUGAGUGAAGAAGGCCCUUGGGUUGUAAAGCUCUUUCGUCGGGGAAGAAAAUGACUGUACCCGAAUAAGAAGGUCCGGCUAACUUCGUGCCAGCAGCCGCGGUAAUACGAAGGGACCUAGCGUAGUUCGGAAUUACUGGGCUUAAAGAGUUCGUAGGUGGUUAAAAAAGUUGGUUGUGAAAUCCCGGAGCUUAACUCCGGAACUGCAAUCAAAACUUUUUAGCUAGAGUAUGAUAGAGGAAAGCAGAAUUUCUAGUGUAGAGGUGAAAUUCGUAGAUAUUAGAAAGAAUACCAAUUGCGAAGGCAGCUUUCUGGAUCAUUACUGACACUGAGGAACGAAAGCAUGGGUAGCGAAGAGGAUUAGAUACCCUCGUAGUCCAUGCCGUAAACGAUGUGUGUUAGACGUUGGAAAUUUAUUUUUAGUGUCGCAGCGAAAGCAAUAAACACACCGCCUGGGGAGUACGACCGCAAGGUUAAAACUCAAAUGAAUUGACGGGGACCCGCACAAGUAGUGGAGCAUGUGGUUUAAUUCGAAGAUACGCGCAGAACCUUACCAACACUUGACAUGUUCGUCGCGACUCUAAGAGAUUAGAGUUUUCGGUUCGGCCGGACGAAACACAGGUGCUGCAUGGCUGUCGUCAGCUCGUGUCGUGAGAUGUUGGGUUAAGUCCCGCAACGAGCGCAACCCUCACUUUUAGUUGCCAUCAUUUAGUUGGGCACUCUGAAAGAACUGCCAGUGAUAAGCUGGAGGAAGGUGGGGAUGACGUCAAGUCCUCAUGGCCCUUACGUGUUGGGCUACACACGUGCUACAAUGGUAUCUACAACAGGAAGCAAGACGGCGACGUUAAGCAAAUCCUUAAAAGAUACCUCAGUUCGGAUUGCACUCUGCAACUCGAGUGCAUGAAGCUGGAAUUACUAGUAAUCGUGGAUCAGCGUGCCACGGUGAAUGCGUUCCCGGGUCUUGUACACACCGCCCGUCACACCAUGGGAGUUGGUUCUACCUUAAGG